AGGCGUACAAAGUAACCGUCAAAAUUUCGAGGAAAGUCCGAGCAAGUUCAGGCAGGAAAGCCGCUAACGGCGGCCGCAGCGGGACCUCAAAAACCCGCUCUAGGGAAAGUGCCACAGAGACGAGCAACGUGAAACGCCCCUUCUGUUUAGCGCCGCGCAAGCGGACGUGGAACAUGGGGAGCCCCUUCGUAAGAAGGAGCGCGUGGUAAACCCUUUCCCUUGCAAGGUGAGAUUGGAGGUUUGGAAUCGGUGGCCUGUCACCCCAAGCCGCUCACCGCAUGAGCCCUUCAGCAAUGAAAGGCCCAGAGAGAUGGUCACUAAGCCAAAAGGAGAUUAAACUCACCUCUUGGCCCAUACAGAACUCGGCUUACAAGAAGCUCCAUCAA
This 386-nucleotide RNase P RNA is filed under the name Candidatus Peregrinibacteria bacterium. RNAcentral's name for it is "RNase P RNA component class A". It matches the Rfam family "Bacterial RNase P class A". Rfam says of the family: Ribonuclease P (RNase P) is a ubiquitous endoribonuclease, found in archaea, bacteria and eukarya as well as chloroplasts and mitochondria. Lineage: Bacteria; Candidatus Peregrinibacteriota. The record is from RNAcentral.